This 387-nucleotide ribosomal RNA is filed under the name uncultured bacterium. RNAcentral describes it as "bacterial SSU rRNA". It matches the Rfam family "Archaeal small subunit ribosomal RNA", at positions 339 to 726 of the family's 1478-position model. The record is from RNAcentral.
GCGCGAAAACUUUACAAUGCUGGCAACAGCGAUGAGGGAACCUCGAGUGCCAGGUUACAAAUCUGGCUGUCGAGAUGCCUAAAAAGCAUUUCAUAGCAAGGGCCGGGCAAGACCGGUGCCAGCCGCCGCGGUAACACCGGCGGCUCGAGUGGUAACCGUUAUUAUUGGGUCUAAAGGGUCUGUAGCCGGCCGGAUAAGUCUCUUGAGAAAUCUGGCAGCUUAACUGUCAGGCUUUCAGGAGAUACUGUCUGGCUCGAGGCCGGGAGAGGUGAGAGGUACUUCAGGGGUAGGGGUGAAAUCUUGUAAUCCUUGAAGGACCACCAGCGGCGAAGGCGUCUCACCAGAACGGACCUGACGGCAAGGGACGAAAGCUAGGGGCACGAACCG